GACGAACGCUGGCGGCGUGCCUAAUACAUGCAAGUUGAGCGCUGAAGGUUGGUACUUGUACCAACUGGAUGAGCAGCGAACGGGUGAGUAACGCGUGGGGAAUCUGCCUUUGAGCGGGGGACAACAUUUGGAAACGAAUGCUAAUACCGCAUAGAAACUUUAAACACAAGUUUUAAGUUUGAAAGAUGCAAUUGCAUCACUCAAAGAUGAUCCCGCGUUGUAUUAGCUAGUUGGUGAGGUAAAGGCUCACCAAGGCGAUGAUACAUAGCCGACCUGAGAGGGUGAUCGGCCACAUUGGGACUGAGACACGGCCCAAACUCCUACGGGAGGCAGCAGUAGGGAAUCUUCGGCAAUGGACGAAAGUCUGACCGAGCAACGCCGCGUGAGUGAAGAAGGUUUUCGGAUCGUAAAACUCUGUUGGUAGAGAAGAACGUUGGUGAGAGUGGAAAGCUCAUCAAGUGACGGUAACUACCAGAAAGGGACGGCUAACUACGUG
RNAcentral lists this ribosomal RNA (496 nucleotides) under uncultured bacterium. Its description in RNAcentral is "partial 16S ribosomal RNA". It matches the Rfam family "Bacterial small subunit ribosomal RNA", at positions 28 to 507 of the family's 1533-position model. The record is from RNAcentral.